This 441-nucleotide long non-coding RNA is filed under the name Nicotiana benthamiana. Its description in RNAcentral is "long non-coding RNA (NBEN_LNC034753)". The record is from RNAcentral. Lineage: Eukaryota; Viridiplantae; Streptophyta; Magnoliopsida; Solanales; Solanaceae.
GCAUGUGGAGGCCAAUGUUGCACGAAAUAUACUUGAAUUAGCAAAAUACAACAUAUAAUCAUACUCAAUCAGCCUCUUCUUUCAACUUCUUGCAAACUAAUUCUAUUUCUAAUAGAUUACAAAAGUACCUUUAAAAUUGAAAAUUGUGUAUUGUUCUCUUAUCCUCCACCAAAAUACAACAAUAACGACAACAACUCAGUAUAAUCUCACUUAGUGGGGUCUGAGGAGGGUAGUGUGUACGCAGACCUUAUACCUACCCUUGGGUAGAGAUGCUGUUUCCAAAUAGACCCCCGACAUUCUUCCCUCAAAAAACUUCCCAUCUUUCUCUUGGGGAGACUCGAACUCACAACCUCUCUGUUGGAAGUGGGGGUUGCUUACCAUCAGAGCAACCCUUCUUGUCUUUAUCCUCCACCAAAAUGAAGGAAGGAUUACAUAUUGUCC